AGGAGGAGGAGGAGGAGGAAGACAAAGAAGAAGAAGAAGAAGAAGAAGAAGAAGAAGAAGAAGAAGAAGAAGAAGAAGAAGAAGAAGAAGAAAUCAAGACAAAACAAAAUAAAACAAAAACUUUAAAUUUAAAAAUCUUUCAAACUAUAGGGAAUAAAAACAAAAUGGUCAAUCUCAGUAGACUGCCUAGUAAAGAGAAUUGCAAGUGA
RNAcentral lists this long non-coding RNA (209 nucleotides) under Rattus norvegicus (Norway rat). RNAcentral's name for it is "long non-coding RNA NONRATT017846". The record is from RNAcentral. Lineage: Eukaryota; Metazoa; Chordata; Mammalia; Rodentia; Muridae.